AGAGUUUGAUCCUGGCUCAGACGAACGCUGGCGGCGUGCUUAACACAUGCAAGUCGAACGAUGAAGCCCUUCGGGGUGGAUUAGUGGCGAACGGGUGAGUAACACGUGGGCAAUCUGCCCUUCACUCUGGGACAAGCCCUGGAAACGGGGUCUAAUACCGGAUAACACUCCUGCCUGCAUGGGUGGGGGUUAAAAGCUCCGGCGGUGAAGGAUGAGCCCGCGGCCUAUCAGCUUGUUGGUGGGGUAAUGGCCUACCAAGGCGACGACGGGUAGCCGGCCUGAGAGGGCGACCGGCCACACUGGGACUGAGACACGGCCCAGACUCCUACGGGAGGCAGCAGUGGGGAAUAUUGCACAAUGGGCGAAAGCCUGAUGCAGCGACGCCGCGUGAGGGAUGACGGCCUUCGGGUUGUAAACCUCUUUCAGCAGGGAAGAAGCGAAAGUGACGGUACCUGCAGAAGAAGCGCCGGCUAACUACGUGCCAGCAGCCGCGGUAAUACGUAGGGCGCAAGCGUUGUCCGGAAUUAUUGGGCGUAAAGAGCUCGUAGGCGGCUUGUCGCGUCGGAUGUGAAAGCCCGGGGCUUAACCCCGGGUCUGCAUUCGAUACGGGCAGGCUAGAGUGUGGUAGGGGAGAUCGGAAUUCCUGGUGUAGCGGUGAAAUGCGCAGAUAUCAGGAGGAACACCGGUGGCGAAGGCGGAUCUCUGGGCCAUUACUGACGCUGAGGAGCGAAAGCGUGGGGAGCGAACAGGAUUAGAUACCCUGGUAGUCCACGCCGUAAACGUUGGGAACUAGGUGUUGGCGACAUUCCACGUCGUCGGUGCCGCAGCUAACGCAUUAAGUCCCCGCCUGGGGAGUACGGCCGCAAGGCUAAAACUCAAAGGAAUUGACGG
This 891-nucleotide ribosomal RNA is filed under the name Streptomyces sp. RNAcentral's name for it is "bacterial SSU rRNA". It matches the Rfam family "Bacterial small subunit ribosomal RNA", at positions 8 to 916 of the family's 1533-position model. Lineage: Bacteria; Bacillati; Actinomycetota; Actinomycetes; Kitasatosporales; Streptomycetaceae. The record is from RNAcentral.